AUGUAAGAUGCAUAGCUCUCACCUCUAUCCAUCUGGGGCCUCUCUUCAGACAUGGCUUUCCUGAGGGUCAGGUGUCUGCCAUCCCUGCUCUCAUUGGCUGGAAAGUCGGACUGGGGUCUCUGAAUGGUGAGAACACACAGGACAAGCAGCGGUGAGGUGAUCAAGGUGGUGAAAACAGGACCAGAGGAAAAGUCAAAUAAAUGUGGGAGAAAGGAAAAGGGACAAAGAAGAGCAAAACAAGAAAGGAAUAAAAGAUGAGUGCAAGGCG
Alosa sapidissima (American shad) is the source of this 268-nucleotide long non-coding RNA. RefSeq lists it as uncharacterized. The record is from RefSeq and is a predicted model, not a curated record. The transcript has 2 exons. Lineage: Eukaryota; Metazoa; Chordata; Actinopteri; Clupeiformes; Clupeidae.